Molecule: small RNA, 558 nt
Filed under: Pongo abelii (Sumatran orangutan)
Lineage: Eukaryota; Metazoa; Chordata; Mammalia; Primates; Hominidae
Description: retained intron
Source: RNAcentral
AGCCGCCCAAGGGCUGGCGAUGGCGUACUUGCCGUGGAGACUGGCGCAGCGUUGGUGUCCGAGGUCACUAGUUUUCCGGCAGUUCAGCUGCACAUGAAUAGAACAGCAAUGAGAGCCAGUCAGAAGGACUUUGAAAAUGCAGUGAAUCAAGUGAAACUCUUGAAAAAGGAUCCAGGAAACGAAGUGAAGCUAAAACUCUACGCGCUGUAUAAGCAGGCCACUGAAGGACCUUGUAACAUGCCCAAACCGGGUAUAUUUGACUUGAUCAACAAGGCCAAAUGGGAUGCAUGGAAUGCCCUUGGCAGCCUGCCCAAGGAAGCUGCCAGGCAGAACUAUGUGGAUUUGGUGUCCAGUUUGAGUCCUUCAUUGGAAUCCUCUAGUCAGGUGGAGCCUGGAACAGACAGGAAAUCAACUGGGUUUGAAACUCUGGUGGUGACCUCCGAAGAUGGCAUCACAAAGAUCAUGUUCAACCGGCCCACAAAGAAAAAUGCCAUAAACACUGAGGUAAUGUUACCUGCCCACAGAGUUUGUCCUGUUUUACUUUCUUCUUCUAUGUGU